Molecule: ribosomal RNA, 310 nt
Filed under: uncultured fungus
Lineage: Eukaryota; Fungi
Description: SSU rRNA
Rfam family: Eukaryotic small subunit ribosomal RNA
Source: RNAcentral
AAAGAUUAAGCCAUGCAUGUCUAAGUAUAAGCAAUCUAUACCGUGAAACUGCGAAUGGCUCAUUAAAUCAGUUAUCGUUUAUUUGAUAGUACCUUACUACUUGGAUAACCGUGGUAAUUCUAGAGCUAAUACAUGCUAAAAACCUCGACUUCGGAAGGGGUGUAUUUAUUAGAUAAAAAACCAAUGCCCUUCGGGGCUCCUUGGUGAUUCAUAAUAACUUAACGAAUCGCAUGGCCUUGUGCCGGCGAUGGUUCAUUCAAAUUUCUGCCCUAUCAACUUUCGAUGGUAUGGUCUUGGCUUACCAUGGUUU